AAAUAGAUACCCGGGUAGUCCACGCCGUAAACGAUGAGUGCUAAGUGUUAGAGGGUUUCCGCCCUUUAGUGCUGCAGCUAACGCAUUAAGCACUCCGCCUGGGGAGUACGGUCGCAAGACUGAAACUCAAAGGAAUUGACGGGGGCCCGCACAAGCGGUGGAGCAUGUGGUUUAAUUCGAAGCAACGCGAAGAACCUUACCAGGUCUUGACAUCCUCUGACAACUCUAGAGAUAGAGUGUUCCCCUUCGGGGGUACAGAGUGACAGGUGGUGCAUGGUUGUCGUCAGCUCGUGUCGUGAGAUGUUGGGUUAAGUCCCGCAACGAGCGCAACCCUUGAUCUUAGUUGCCAGCAUUUAGUUGGGCACUCUAAGGUGACUGCCGGUGACAAACCGGAGGAAGGUGGGGAUGACGUCAAAUCAUCAUGCCCCUUAUGACCUGGGGCUACACACGUGCUACAAUGGAUGGUACAAAGGGCUGCAAGACCGCGAGGUCAAGCCAAUCCCAUAAAACCAUUCUCAGUUCGGAUUGUAGG
RNAcentral lists this ribosomal RNA (532 nucleotides) under uncultured bacterium. Its description in RNAcentral is "bacterial SSU rRNA". It matches the Rfam family "Bacterial small subunit ribosomal RNA", at positions 776 to 1304 of the family's 1533-position model. The record is from RNAcentral.